AUGCCACCUUCCGUGCACGACACGGAAGGCCUGCCGUUCAUGAAGCAUGGUUGUGUCUUUAGUGCGCACCGCCGGAUGAACGACAUGCUAGGACACGCUAUCCCAAAUUUAUGCCGCUUCAUCUUGGAUGAGUCUCCAUCGUGUGGAACCGGACUAGAAAGCUGCGACAAUGAUUCCCGUUGCCCACCGCUAUGGAUCGUGCCAUCCAUGAAGAACACCUGGGACUGGAACCUAGAGGAGGACAUUAGUACUAGUAGAAUUGAGAUUGAAUGCACUUUCUUCCCCGUCUUCCACUCUUCUUCCUCCUCUCUUCUUCUUCCUUCUCUCUUCCCCAUCGUCGACCGCACAUCAUUUACCCCCGCUCACUGCUCGCCCGCCCACGCCAUCUUCCUUGUACCAUAUAACUGGAAUUACCGAUGCAAGUCGAAGAAGGAUUGGCCCGUGCUGCCGGCUAGCGUCAAGUUCGAUCCCACGGAUCAGGAGGUGAUCGAGCACCUUGAGGCCAAAGUGAGUGCUGAUAGCGUGAGAUUUCAGUCUCUCAUCGAUUUGUUCAUACCAACCAUCGACAGCGAGCACGGCAUAUGUUACACCCAACCUGAGAAACUUCCAGGUAUCACACUGAGUGGCCAGAAGCAUUUCUUCCAGCGCAAUUCCAGGGCGUUCAAAAGGGGGGCGUGGACGCGUCGGAAGAUACAGUUGGAGUGCGGCAUGCACGCGAUGUGGCACAAGACCGGCAAUACCUUGCUGAUGAUAGUCAAUGGCCGGCAGACAGGCAGCAAAAAAGGUUCUAGUGCUGCACACCAACAAGAACUUCGACCAAUAGAGGACUAA
RNAcentral lists this ribosomal RNA (831 nucleotides) under Triticum aestivum (bread wheat). RNAcentral describes it as "partial small subunit ribosomal RNA". The record is from RNAcentral. Lineage: Eukaryota; Viridiplantae; Streptophyta; Magnoliopsida; Poales; Poaceae.